RNAcentral lists this ribosomal RNA (535 nucleotides) under Bifidobacterium breve. RNAcentral describes it as "bacterial SSU rRNA". It matches the Rfam family "Bacterial small subunit ribosomal RNA", at positions 158 to 703 of the family's 1533-position model. Lineage: Bacteria; Bacillati; Actinomycetota; Actinomycetes; Bifidobacteriales; Bifidobacteriaceae. The record is from RNAcentral.
GGGUGGUAAUGCCGGAUGCUCCAUCACACCGCAUGGUGUGUUGGGAAAGCCUUUGCGGCAUGGGAUGGGGUCGCGUCCUAUCAGCUUGAUGGCGGGGUAACGGCCCACCAUGGCUUCGACGGGUAGCCGGCCUGAGAGGGCGACCGGCCACAUUGGGACUGAGAUACGGCCCAGACUCCUACGGGAGGCAGCAGUGGGGAAUAUUGCACAAUGGGCGCAAGCCUGAUGCAGCGACGCCGCGUGAGGGAUGGAGGCCUUCGGGUUGUAAACCUCUUUUGUUAGGGAGCAAGGCACUUUGUGUUGAGUGUACCUUUCGAAUAAGCACCGGCUAACUACGUGCCAGCAGCCGCGGUAAUACGUAGGGUGCAAGCGUUAUCCGGAAUUAUUGGGCGUAAAGGGCUCGUAGGCGGUUCGUCGCGUCCGGUGUGAAAGUCCAUCGCUUAACGGUGGAUCCGCGCCGGGUACGGGCGGGCUUGAGUGCGGUAGGGGAGACUGGAAUUCCCGGUGUAACGGUGGAAUGUGUAGAUAUCGGAAA